This 528-nucleotide ribosomal RNA is filed under the name uncultured bacterium. RNAcentral describes it as "partial 16S ribosomal RNA". It matches the Rfam family "Bacterial small subunit ribosomal RNA", at positions 355 to 893 of the family's 1533-position model. The record is from RNAcentral.
UGGGGAAUAUUGCACAAUGGGCGAAAGCCUGAUGCAGCAACGCCGCGUGAGGGACGACGGCCUUCGGGUUGUAAACCUCUUUAGCAAGGAAGAAGCGAAAGUGACGGUACUUGCAGAAAAAGCGCCGGCUAACUACGUGCCAGCAGCCGCGGUAAUACGUAGGGCGCAAGCGUUAUCCGGAAUUAUUGGGCGUAAAGAGCUCGUAGGCGGUUUGUCGCGUCUGCUGUGAAAAACCCGAGGCUCAACCUCGGGCCUGCAGUGGGUACGGGCAGACUAGAGUGCGGUAGGGGAGAUUGGAACUCUUGGUGUAGCGGUGAAUGCGCAGAUAUCAGGAAGAACACCGAUGGCGAAGGCAGAUCUCUGGGCCGUAACUGACGCUGAGGAGCGAAAAGGGUGGGGAGCAAACAGGCUUNGAUACCCUGGUAGUCCACCCCGUAAACGUUGGGAACUAGUUGUGGGGUCCAUUCCACGGAUUCCGUGACGCAGCUAACGCAUUAAGUUCCCCGCCUGGGGAGUACGGCCGCAAGG